UACGAGGGGUGCAAACGUUAUUCGGAUUAACUGGGCGUAAAGGGUGUGUAGACGGAACAUUAAGUUCGUUGUUAAAUCUUUCGGCUUAACCGGAAGCUUGCGGUGAAAACUAAUGAUCUUGAGGGUGAAAGAGAGAAGUGGAAUUCUCGGAGUAGCGGUAAAAUGCGUAGAUCUCGAGAGGAACACCGAUGGCGAAGGCAGCUUCUUGGUUCACUUCUGACGUUGAGACACGAAAGCGUGGGUAGCAAACAGG
This 253-nucleotide unclassified non-coding RNA is filed under the name uncultured bacterium. RNAcentral describes it as "contains 16S-23S intergenic spacer region". It matches the Rfam family "Bacterial small subunit ribosomal RNA", at positions 524 to 776 of the family's 1533-position model. The record is from RNAcentral.